RNAcentral lists this ribosomal RNA (169 nucleotides) under uncultured Trebouxia photobiont. RNAcentral describes it as "5.8S ribosomal RNA". It matches the Rfam family "5.8S ribosomal RNA". From Rfam's summary of the family: 5.8S ribosomal RNA (5.8S rRNA) is a component of the large subunit of the eukaryotic ribosome. It is transcribed by RNA polymerase I as part of the 45S precursor that also contains 18S and 28S rRNA. Functionally, it is thought that 5.8S rRNA may be involved in ribosome translocation. The record is from RNAcentral. Lineage: Eukaryota; Viridiplantae; Chlorophyta; Trebouxiophyceae; Trebouxiales; Trebouxiaceae.
CAACUCUCAACAACGGNUAUCUUGGCUCCCGUAACGAUGAAGNACGCAGCGANNUGCGAUACGUAGUGUGAAUUGCAGAAUUCCGUGAACCAUCGAAUCUUUGAACGCAAAUUGCGCUCGAGGCCUCGGCCAAGAGCAUGUCUGCCUCAGCGUCGGCUACUACCCUCAA